UGGGGAAUAUUGGACAAUGGGCGAAAGCCUGAUCCAGCCAUGCCGCGUGUGUGAAGAAGGUCUUCGGAUUGUAAAGCACUUUAAGUUGGGAGGAAGGGCAUUAACCUAAUACGUUAGUGUUUUGACGUUACCGACAGAAUAAGCACCGGCUAACUCUGUGCCAGCAGCCGCGGUAAUACAGAGGGUGCAAACGUUAAUCGGAAUUACUGGGCGUAAAGCGCGCGUAGGUGGUUUGUUAAGUUGGAUGUGAAAUCCCCGGGCUCAACCUGGGAACUGCAUUCAAAACUGACUGACUAGAGUAUGGUAGAGGGUGGUGGAAUUUCCUGUGUAGCGGUGAAAUGCGUAGAUAUAGGAAGGAACACCAGUGGCGAAGGCGACCACCUGGACUAAUACUGACACUGAGGUGCGAAAGCGUGGGGAGCAAACA
This 427-nucleotide ribosomal RNA is filed under the name uncultured bacterium. RNAcentral describes it as "partial 16S ribosomal RNA". It matches the Rfam family "Bacterial small subunit ribosomal RNA", at positions 355 to 774 of the family's 1533-position model. The record is from RNAcentral.